UGGCUCAGAUUGAACGCUGGCGGCAGGCCUAACACAUGCAAGUCGAGCGGUAGAGAGAAGCUUGCUUCUCUUGAGAGCGGCGGACGGGUGAGUAAUGCCUAGGAAUCUGCCUGGUAGUGGGGGAUAACGUUCGGAAACGAACGCUAAUACCGCAUACGUCCUACGGGAGAAAGCAGGGGACCUUCGGGCCUUGCGCUAUCAGAUGAGCCUAGGUCGGAUUAGCUAGUUGGUGGGGUAAUGGCUCACCAAGGCGACGAUCCGUAACUGGUCUGAGAGGAUGAUCAGUCACACUGGAACUGAGACACGGUCCAGACUCCUACGGGAGGCAGCAGUGGGGAAUAUUGGACAAUGGGCGAAAGCCUGAUCCAGCCAUGCCGCGUGUGUGAAGAAGGUCUUCGGAUUGUAAAGCACUUUAAGUUGGGAGGAAGGGCCAUUACCUAAUACGUGAUGGUUUUGACGUUACCGACAGAAUAAGCACCGGCUAACUCUGUGCCAGCAGCCGCGGUAAUACAGAGGGUGCAAGCGUUAAUCGGAAUUACUGGGCGUAAAGCGCGCGUAGGUGGUUUGUUAAGUUGGAUGUGAAAUCCCCGGGCUCAACCUGGGAACUGCAUUCAAAACUGACUGACUAGAGUAUGGUAGAGGGUGGUGGAAUUUCCUGUGUAGCGGUGAAAUGCGUAGAUAUAGGAAGGAACACCAGUGGCGAAGGCGACCACCUGGACUGAUACUGACACU
RNAcentral lists this ribosomal RNA (732 nucleotides) under uncultured Pseudomonas sp. RNAcentral describes it as "bacterial SSU rRNA". It matches the Rfam family "Bacterial small subunit ribosomal RNA", at positions 20 to 747 of the family's 1533-position model. Lineage: Bacteria; Pseudomonadati; Pseudomonadota; Gammaproteobacteria; Pseudomonadales; Pseudomonadaceae. The record is from RNAcentral.